UGGGAAGUGGCUCAAUGGUAGAGUACUUGCCUAAUACUCUAGAGGCCCCAGGUAUAACUCCUAGCUCUACAA
RNAcentral lists this transfer RNA (72 nucleotides) under Heterocephalus glaber (naked mole-rat). It matches the Rfam family "tRNA". Rfam says of the family: Transfer RNA (tRNA) molecules are approximately 80 nucleotides in length. Lineage: Eukaryota; Metazoa; Chordata; Mammalia; Rodentia; Bathyergidae. The record is from Rfam by way of RNAcentral.